AGCUCCAAUAGCGUAUAUUAAAGUUGUUGCGCACGCUUUGAAUACAUUAGCAUGGAAUAAUAAGAUAGGACCUCAGUUCUAUUUUGUUGGUUUCUAGAGCUGAGGUAAUGGUUGAUAGGGAUAGUUGGGGGCAUUCGUAUUUAACUGUCAGAGGUGAAAUUCUUGGAUUUGUUAAAGACGAACUACUGCGAAAGCAUUUGCCAAGGAUGUUUUCA
RNAcentral lists this ribosomal RNA (215 nucleotides) under uncultured eukaryote. Its description in RNAcentral is "partial small subunit ribosomal RNA". It matches the Rfam family "Eukaryotic small subunit ribosomal RNA", at positions 775 to 972 of the family's 1831-position model. The record is from RNAcentral.